GUUUGAUCAUGGCUCAGAUUGAACGCUGGCGGCAGGCUUAACACAUGCAAGUCGAGCGGGGGAAGGUAGCUUGCUACUGGACCUAGCGGCGGACGGGUGAGUAAUGCUUAGGAAUCUGCCUAUUAGUGGGGGACAACAUCUCGAAAGGGAUGCUAAUACCGCAUACGUCCUACGGGAGAAAGCAGGGGAUCUUCGGACCUUGCGCUAAUAGAUGAGCCUAAGUCGGAUUAGCUAGUUGGUGGGGUAAAGGCCUACCAAGGCGACGAUCUGUAGCGGGUCUGAGAGGAUGAUCCGCCACACUGGGACUGAGACACGGCCCAGACUCCUACGGGAGGCAGCAGUGGGGAAUAUUGGACAAUGGGGGGAACCCUGAUCCAGCCAUGCCGCGUGUGUGAAGAAGGCCUUAUGGUUGUAAAGCACUUUAAGCGAGGAGGAGGCUACUUUAGUUAAUACCUAGAGAUAGUGGACGUUACUCGCAGAAUAAGCACCGGCUAACUCUGUGCCAGCAGCCGCGGUAAUACAGAGGGUGCGAGCGUUAAUCGGAUUUACUGGGCGUAAAGCGUGCGUAGGCGGCUUAUUAAGUCGGAUGUGAAAUCCCCGAGCUUAACUUGGGAAUUGCAUUCGAUACUGGUGAGCUAGAGUAUGGGAGAGGAUGGUAGAAUUCCAGGUGUAGCGGUGAAAUGCGUAGAGAUCUGGAGGAAUACCGAUGGCGAAGGCAGCCAUCUGGCCUAAUACUGACGCUGAGGUACGAAAGCAUGGGGAGCAAACAGGAUUAGAUACCCUGGUAGUCCAUGCCGUAAACGAUGUCUACUAG
RNAcentral lists this ribosomal RNA (814 nucleotides) under Acinetobacter baumannii. RNAcentral's name for it is "bacterial SSU rRNA". It matches the Rfam family "Bacterial small subunit ribosomal RNA", at positions 11 to 819 of the family's 1533-position model. Lineage: Bacteria; Pseudomonadati; Pseudomonadota; Gammaproteobacteria; Moraxellales; Moraxellaceae. The record is from RNAcentral.